RNAcentral lists this ribosomal RNA (252 nucleotides) under uncultured bacterium. RNAcentral describes it as "partial 16S ribosomal RNA". It matches the Rfam family "Bacterial small subunit ribosomal RNA", at positions 524 to 776 of the family's 1533-position model. The record is from RNAcentral.
UACGUAGGUCCCGAGCGUUGUCCGGAUUUAUUGGGCGUAAAGCGAGCGCAGGUGGUUUAUUAAGUCUGGUGUAAAAGGCAGUGGCUCAACCAUUGUAUGCAUUGGAAACUGGUAGACUUGAGUGCGGGAGAGGAGAGUGGAAUUCCAUGUGUAGCGGUGAAAUGCGUAGAUAUAUGGAGGAACACCGGUGGCGAAAGCGGCUCUCUGGCCUGUAACUGACACUGAGGCUCGAAAGCGUGGGGAGCAAACAGG